UUUGAUUCAGGUUGACCUAUGCUGGGGGGGAAAUAAGAUUUACAUACUCCAGGCAGGUGUCAGGAGCUAUAAUAACUAGUGAGAUCUGGAUGCCCAUGAACGGAUAGUGUGGAUAUGAUAAAAUACAGUAGAAAAGACCAACAAUUAGGGCAACAUUGUCCAGCAUUGGUGCUGAUGCUUAGUACUUCAAGAUCUUCGUUAAUAAGAAAAUUAUUUAGAGACACUGCAGUCAAUAGGCAAUGAAAGUGCUCAUCACCUCAGUAUAAGCGACCUUUUACUUAUAUGCCUCAUCACAGAUUAAGGACUUUGGCCUCUGUGUUAGAAAAUGUUGGCCUUGGAUUAUGAGCUGAAGUGUGUUGCAAUUCCUUUUCUAGCAUAGGAAGAUUCUGUGGUAGCUGCUGACUGCAAGUGAAGGCACUUAUCUAUGCCUGUUAUUCUGUAACUUGCUGUCCUUAUGAAGAAUUCAUUUUACAAGGGAUUAGUAGAAAUCAGCUAUUUUUGCUUGGCAAAACAAGGGCUGACAGCGGAUGUGAUUGCUGACUGCAAAUAUACCAAGAAGAGGUAAACCUCAGAGAGCUGAGAAGAGCUAUUUAAGCUAAAAAUAACCUUGACACAUGAACAAACAUACACUAACCAGCCCUGAAUAAAAUYAGGAAAAGAAGUAGGUUACCAAUAAUCCAAACAAUGAAGGUGCUGGAAGAACUUUCUGAUAGAAGAAAUGCAAGCAGAAUGCCAAAGUGCUUUUUGGAUGGAGUUUAACCAGCACCUGAAAGGGAAUAGGUAAGAGGAUUGCAUGUUGCUGUGUCUAGACUGUGGGGCCUGGGCUUACUCCCAUGUCAGGAYGAAACUCAGUUGGUUUUGUACCGAACAACGUCCUUAUUCCUUUGAGGAGCAACUCCCCAUCAGACAAAGACAAAGUCCUGUGGAGACAGUCACCACAUUGCUUGGGUAUCGUGCUCAGCAACUUGCCUCAGGAAGCAAGAAGCAAAGACCCUGGUAUCACCAUCACCAAGAGGAGACUCUUUUCACUGUCCUUGCUGACAGCUGAUUUCUCCUCAGAAGACUGUAGUAAGCUUGACUGUUGACCAGUUUGUAACUUGUUCCUCUAAGACGCAUAUCAAACCAUGGUAAG
RNAcentral lists this long non-coding RNA (1132 nucleotides) under Dromaius novaehollandiae (emu). RNAcentral describes it as "lncRNA (ENSDNVG00000014727.1)". Lineage: Eukaryota; Metazoa; Chordata; Aves; Casuariiformes; Dromaiidae. The record is from RNAcentral.